AUUGAACGCUGGCGGCGGGCCUAACACAUGCAAGUAGAGCGGAGCGGCGGACGGGUGAGUAAUUCCUAGGAAUAUGCCUGGUAGUGGGGGAUAACGUCCGGGAACGGCCGCUACUACCGCAUGCUAUCGGUUCAGCCUCGGUGGUAUUAGCUCGUGGGUGGGGUAAAGGCCUACCAAGGAGACGAUCCGUAACUGGUCUGAGCGGAGGAUAAGUCACACUGGAACGGAGACACGGUCCAGACCCCUACGGGAGGCAGCAGUGGGGAAGUUUGGACAAUGGGCGAAAGCCUGAUCCAGACAGGCCGCGGGUGUGAAGAAGGUCUUCGGAUUGUAAAGCACGUUAAGUGGGGAGGCGUUACCAACAGAAAAAGCACCGGCUAACUUCGUGCCAGCAGCCGCGGUAAUAC
RNAcentral lists this ribosomal RNA (407 nucleotides) under uncultured bacterium. RNAcentral's name for it is "partial 16S ribosomal RNA". It matches the Rfam family "Bacterial small subunit ribosomal RNA", at positions 29 to 526 of the family's 1533-position model. The record is from RNAcentral.